CGGACGGGUGAGUAAUGUAUGGGGAUCUGCCUGAUGGCGGGGGAUAACUACUGGAAACGGUAGCUAAUACCGCAUAAUGUCUGCGGACCAAAGCGGGGGACCUCCGGGCCUCGCGCCAUCAGAUGAACCCAGAUGGGAUUAGCUAGUAGGUGGGGUAACGGUUCACCUAGGCGACGAUCCCUAGCUGGUCUGAGAGGAUGACCAGCCACACUGGAACUGAGACACGGUCCAG
This 232-nucleotide ribosomal RNA is filed under the name uncultured bacterium. RNAcentral's name for it is "partial 16S ribosomal RNA". It matches the Rfam family "Bacterial small subunit ribosomal RNA", at positions 99 to 334 of the family's 1533-position model. The record is from RNAcentral.